GACGAACGCUGGCGGCGUGCCUAAUACAUGCAAGUCGAACGCUUCUUUUUCCACCGGAGCUUGCUCCACCGGAAAAAGAGGAGUGGCGAACGGGUGAGUAACACGUGGGUAACCUGCCCAUCAGAAGGGGAUAACACUUGGAAACAGGUGCUAAUACCGUAUAACAAUCGAAACCGCAUGGUUUUGAUUUGAAAGGCGCUUUCGGGUGUCGCUGAUGGAUGGACCCGCGGUGCAUUAGCUAGUUGGUGAGGUAACGGCUCACCAAGGCCACGAGGCAUAGCCGACCUGAGAGGGUGAUCGGCCACAUUGGGACUGAGACACGGCCCAAACUCCUACGGGAGGCAGCAGUAGGGAAUCUUCGGCAAUGGACGAAAGUCUGACCGAGCAACGCCGCGUGAGUGAAGAAGGUUUUCGGGUCGUAAAACUCUGUUGUUAGAGAAGAACAAGGAUGAGAGUAACUGUUCAUCCCUUGACGGUAUCUAACCAGAAAGCCACGGCUAACUACGUGCCAGCCGCCGCGGUAA
Molecule: ribosomal RNA, 524 nt
Filed under: uncultured bacterium
Lineage: Bacteria
Description: partial 16S ribosomal RNA
Rfam family: Bacterial small subunit ribosomal RNA
Source: RNAcentral